GACGAACGCUGGCGGCGUGCCUAAUACAUGCAAGUAGAACGCUGAAGGAGGAGCUUGCUUCUCUGGAUGAGUUGCGAACGGGUGAGUAACGCGUAGGUAACCUGCCUGGUAGCGGGGGAUAACUAUUGGAAACGAUAGCUAAUACCGCAUAAUAGCAGUUGUUGCAUGACAACUGUUUGGAAGGUGCAAUUGCACCACUACCAGAUGGACCUGCGUUGUAUUAGCUAGUUGGUGGGGUAACGGCUCACCAAGGCGACGAUACAUAGCCGACCUGAGAGGGUGAUCGGCCACACUGGGACUGAGACACGGCCCAGACUCCUACGGGAGGCAGCAGUAGGGAAUCUUCGGCAAUGGACGGAAGUCUGACCGAGCAACGCCGCGUGAGUGAAGAAGGUUUUCGGAUCGUAAAGCUCUGUUGUAAGAGAAGAACGAGUGUGAGAGUGGAAAGUUCACACUGUGACGGUAUCUUACCAGAAAGGGACGGCUAACUACGUG
Molecule: ribosomal RNA, 495 nt
Filed under: uncultured bacterium
Lineage: Bacteria
Description: partial 16S ribosomal RNA
Rfam family: Bacterial small subunit ribosomal RNA
Source: RNAcentral